AUUGAACGCUGGCGGCAUGCCUUACACAUGCAAGUCGAACGGCAGCACGGGAGCUUGCUCCUGGUGGCGAGUGGCGAACGGGUGAGUAAUGCAUCGGAACGUGCCCUGAAGUGGGGGAUAACGUAGCGAAAGUUACGCUAAUACCGCAUAUUCUGUGAGCAGGAAAGCAGGGGAUCUUCGGACCUUGCGCUUUUGGAGCGGCCGAUGUCGGAUUAGCUAGUUGGUGGGGUAAAGGCCCACCAAGGCGACGAUCCGUAGCGGGUCUGAGAGGAUGAUCCGCCACACUGGAACUGAGACACGGUCCAGACUCCUACGGGAGGCAGCAGUGGGGAAUUUUGCACAAUGGGCGCAAGCCUGAUGCAGCGACGCCGCGUGAGGGAUGACGGCCUGGUUGUAACUCUUUCAAUAGGACGAAGCGCAAGUGACGGUACCUAUAGAAGAAGGAACCGGCCGAACUAACGUGCCAGCAGCCGCGGUAA
RNAcentral lists this ribosomal RNA (479 nucleotides) under uncultured bacterium. Its description in RNAcentral is "bacterial SSU rRNA". It matches the Rfam family "Bacterial small subunit ribosomal RNA", at positions 30 to 523 of the family's 1533-position model. The record is from RNAcentral.